CACCACUUUAAUUUGAUGGAUAAAAAUAAACAUACAAUAUAUUCAAAUAUGGAAUUAAAUGAGGCACUAUUCCAGUUUAAAAUUUUAAAUAAAAUAGGAAAUUAUAUUUUAGUUAGUUGUAACUCGUUUAGGUAAUUUAGGUGCCAGCAACCGCGGUCAUACCUAAUAAGCAUGUUUAUACAUUUAUAUUGAGUUAUAUUUUCGUUUUAAUAAAAAUUAUAAGAUGUAGUGAAAUACUAUGUAGUAUUAAAAUCUUCUUUAAGCUGCUAUAUCCACACCUUUAUAGAAAACUAGGAUUAGAGACCCUACUAUUCUAGGCCUAAAACCCACUUAAUAAGAACUAAAACUAACAAUGGUUCAAACUUAAAAAUUAUGGCGGCUGGACAAAACAUUUAGGGGAACUUACCAUAUAAUUGAUAACCACCAAGCACUAUUCUACUUACUUUAACAAUUUGUAUGCCGUUGUCUUUUGAAACUUAUAAAAAGUCUCAUGUGUAUACAUUAGAAGCUAUAAGUAGACAAAUCAAGGUGCAGUCUAUAAGUAAGAAUUAAGGUGAGUUACAAUAACUAGUUGUUUCAAAAAUAAUUAUGAAAUAUUUAUUGAAGAUGGACUUAAAAGUAAUAGGUUAAAUUUACAAAAAGACUAUAAAUAUGUAUUGUUUAGUGUA
This 668-nucleotide ribosomal RNA is filed under the name Cristataria colbeauiana. RNAcentral describes it as "partial 12S ribosomal RNA". The record is from RNAcentral. Lineage: Eukaryota; Metazoa; Mollusca; Gastropoda; Stylommatophora; Clausiliidae.